RNAcentral lists this ribosomal RNA (755 nucleotides) under uncultured archaeon. Its description in RNAcentral is "bacterial SSU rRNA". It matches the Rfam family "Archaeal small subunit ribosomal RNA", at positions 102 to 859 of the family's 1478-position model. The record is from RNAcentral.
GGAUAACCUACCCUGGUAGUGGGGGAUAAUCUCGGAAACUGAGGAUAAUACCCCAUAGGCCUUUGGUACUGGAAGUGUUCUUAGGCCCAAAUUACGGCGCUCCAGGAUGGGUCUGCGGCCUAUCAGGUAGUAGUGAGUGUAAAGGACUCACUAGCCGACAACGGGUACGGGCCAUGGGAGUGGUAGCCCGGAGAUGGAUUCUGAGACACGAAUCCAGGCCCUACGGGGCGCAGCAGGCGCGAAAACUUCGCAAUGCGCGAAAGCGCGACGAGGGGAUUCCAAGUGCAUGCACUUAGUGCAUGCUGUUUGCUAGUCUAAAUAGCUAGUAGAGUAAGGGCUGGGUAAGACUGGUGCCAGCCGCCGCGGUAAUACCAGCGGCCCGAGUGGUGAUCGUUAUUAUUGGGUCUAAAGCGUCCGUAGCCGGCCCGGUAAAUCUCUGGGUAAAUCGGUUGGCUCAACUCAGCGAAUUUCUAGGGAGACUGCCGGGCUUGGGACCGGGAGAGGUCGGAGGUACUCCAGGGGUAGGGGUGAAAUCCUGUAAUCCUUGGGGGACCACCGGUGGCGAAGGCGUCCGACCAGAACGGGUCCGACGGUAAGGGACGAAGCCCUGGGGCGCGAACCGGAUUAGAUACCCGGGUAGUCCAGGGUGUAAACGCUGUGCGCUUGGUGUUGGGGGUCCUUUGAGGGCAUCCAGUGCCGGAGAGAAGUUGUUAAGCGCACCACCUGGGGAGUACGGUCGCAAGACUGAAACUUAA